UUUGGCAGCACAUAUACUUAAAAAAAAAAAAUUGGAAUGAUACAGAGAAGAUUAGCAUGGCCCCUAUGCUAGGAUGACAUGCAAAUUAGUGAAGUGUUCCAUAUUAAA
This is a small nuclear RNA of Phacochoerus africanus (Common warthog), 108 nucleotides long. NCBI's taxonomy places the organism in Eukaryota, Metazoa, Chordata, Mammalia, Artiodactyla, Suidae. The record is from RefSeq and is a predicted model, not a curated record.